This 478-nucleotide ribosomal RNA is filed under the name uncultured bacterium. RNAcentral describes it as "bacterial SSU rRNA". It matches the Rfam family "Bacterial small subunit ribosomal RNA", at positions 30 to 506 of the family's 1533-position model. The record is from RNAcentral.
UUGAACGCUGGCGGCAUGCCUUACACAUGCAAGUCGAACGGUAGUGUAGCAAUACUCGAGAGUGGCGAACGGGUGAGUAAUAUAUCGGAACGUGCCCAGUCGUGGGGGAUAACGUAGAGAAAUUUACGCUAAUACCGCAUACGAUCUACGGAUGAAAGCGGGGGACUCGCAAGGGCCUCGCGCGAUUGGAGCGGCCGAUGGCAGAUUAGGUAGUUGGUGGGGUAAAGGCUCACCAAGCCUGCGAUCUGUAGCUGGUCUGAGAGGACGACCAGCCACACUGGGACUGAGACACGGCCCAGACUCCUACGGGAGGCAGCAGUGGGGAAUUUUGGACAAUGGGCGCAAGCCUGAUCCAGCCAUUCCGCGUGCAGGAUGAAGGCCUUCGGGUUGUAAACUGCUUUUGUACGGAACGAAAAGGCUCUGGUGAAUACCUGGGGCUCAUGACGGUACCGUAAGAAUAAGCACCGGCUAACUACGU